This 253-nucleotide ribosomal RNA is filed under the name uncultured bacterium. RNAcentral's name for it is "partial 16S ribosomal RNA". It matches the Rfam family "Bacterial small subunit ribosomal RNA", at positions 524 to 776 of the family's 1533-position model. The record is from RNAcentral.
UACAGAGGUCUCAAGCGUUGUUCGGAUUCAUUGGGCGUAAAGGGUGCGUAGGCGGCGCGGUAAGUCGGGUGUGAAAUCUCGGAGCUUAACUCCGAAACUGCAUUCGAUACUGCCGUGCUUGAGGACUGGAGAGGAGACUGGAAUUUACGGUGUAGCGGUGAAAUGCGUAGAUAUCAAGUGGAACACCAGUGGCGAAGGCGAAUCCCUGGAAAAUACCUGACACUGAGGCACGAAAGCUAGGGGAGCAAACAGG